This 407-nucleotide ribosomal RNA is filed under the name Verrucomicrobiota bacterium. Its description in RNAcentral is "Verrucomicrobia bacterium partial 16S ribosomal RNA". It matches the Rfam family "Bacterial small subunit ribosomal RNA", at positions 355 to 776 of the family's 1533-position model. The record is from RNAcentral. Lineage: Bacteria; Pseudomonadati; Verrucomicrobiota.
UGGGGAAUAUUGGACAAUGGAGGAAACUCUGAUCCAGCAAUUCUGUGUGUGUGAAGAAGGUUUUAGGACUGUAAAACACUUUUAGUAGGGAAGAAAAAAAUGACGUUACCUACAGAAGAAGCAACGGCUAAAUACGUGCCAGCAGCCGCGGUAAUACGUAUGUUGCGAGCGUUAUCCGGAAUUAUUGGGCUUAAAGGGCAUCUAGGCGGUAAGACAAGUUGAAGGUGAAAACCUGUGGCUCAACCAUAGGCUUGCCUACAAAACUGUUGAACUAGAGUACUGGAAAGGUGGGUGGAACUACACGAGUAGAGGUGAAAUUCGUAGAUAUGUGUAGGAAUGCCGAUGAUGAAGAUAACCCACUGGACAGAAACUGACGCUGAAGUGCGAAAGCUAGGGGAGCAAACAGG